This 26-nucleotide microRNA is filed under the name Macaca mulatta (Rhesus monkey). RNAcentral's name for it is "mml-miR-6827-3p". The record is from miRBase by way of RNAcentral. Lineage: Eukaryota; Metazoa; Chordata; Mammalia; Primates; Cercopithecidae.
ACCGUCUCUUCUGUUUCCCAGGAUCC